This 695-nucleotide ribosomal RNA is filed under the name Bacillus subtilis. RNAcentral's name for it is "bacterial SSU rRNA". It matches the Rfam family "Bacterial small subunit ribosomal RNA", at positions 595 to 1288 of the family's 1533-position model. Lineage: Bacteria; Bacillati; Bacillota; Bacilli; Caryophanales; Bacillaceae. The record is from RNAcentral.
GAAAAGCCCCCGGCUUCAACCGGGGAGGGUCAUUGGAAACUUGGGGAACUUGAGUGCAGAAGAGGAGAGUGGAAUUCCACGUGUAGCGGUGAAAUGCGUAGAGAUGUGGAGGAACACCAGUGGCGAAGGCGACUCUCUGGUCUGUAACUGACGCUGAGGAGCGAAAGCGUGGGGAGCGAACAGGAUUAGAUACCCUGGUAGUCCACGCCGUAAACGAUGAGUGCUAAGUGUUAGGGGGUUUCCGCCCCUUAGUGCUGCAGCUAACGCAUUAAGCACUCCGCCUGGGGAGUACGGUCGCAAGACUGAAACUCAAAGGAAUUGACGGGGGCCCGCACAAGCGGUGGAGCAUGUGGUUUAAUUCGAAGCAACGCGAAGAACCUUACCAGGUCUUGACAUCCUCUGACAAUCCUAGAGAUAGGACGUCCCCUUCGGGGGCAGAGUGACAGGUGGUGCAUGGUUGUCGUCAGCUCGUGUCGUGAGAUGUUGGGUUAAGUCCCGCAACGAGCGCAACCCUUGAUCUUAGUUGCCAGCAUUCAGUUGGGCACUCUAAGGUGACUGCCGGUGACAAACCGGAGGAAGGUGGGGAUGACGUCAAAUCAUCAUGCCCCUUAUGACCUGGGCUACACACGUGCUACAAUGGACAGAACAAAGGGCAUCGAAACCGCGAGGUUAAUCCAAUCCCACAAAUCUGUUCU